This 501-nucleotide ribosomal RNA is filed under the name uncultured bacterium. RNAcentral's name for it is "bacterial SSU rRNA". It matches the Rfam family "Bacterial small subunit ribosomal RNA", at positions 28 to 527 of the family's 1533-position model. The record is from RNAcentral.
GAUGAACGCUAGCGGCAGGCCUAAUACAUGCAAGUCGAACGGUAAGUAUUUUAGCAAUAGAAUACGAGAGUGACGUACGGGUGCGUAACACGUAUGCAACCUACCCUUUACAGGAGGAUAGCUCGGGGAAACUCGAAUUAACCCUCCAUGAGAUCACAGUGUGGCAUCACACAGUGAUUAAAACUCCGGUGGUAAAGGAUGGGCAUGCGUCUGAUUAGUUAGUUGGCGGGGUAACGGCCCACCAAGACGAUGAUCAGUAGGGGAACUGAGAGGUUGAUCCCCCACACUGGCACUGAGAUACGGGCCAGACUCCUACGGGAGGCAGCAGUAGGGAAUAUUGGUCAAUGGAUGGAAGACUGAACCAGCCAUGCCGCGUGCAGGAAGAAGGCCUUCUGGGUUGUAAACUGCUUUUGCCAGGGGAUAAAAAGACCAUGCGUGGUUAAUUGAAGGUACCUGGUGAAUAAGCACGGCUAACUACGUGCCAGCAGCCGCGGUAAUACG